This 160-nucleotide ribosomal RNA is filed under the name Mucor circinelloides. RNAcentral's name for it is "5.8S ribosomal RNA". The stretch from base 1 to 131 matches the Rfam family "5.8S ribosomal RNA", at positions 23 to 154 of the family's 154-position model. From Rfam's summary of the family: 5.8S ribosomal RNA (5.8S rRNA) is a component of the large subunit of the eukaryotic ribosome. It is transcribed by RNA polymerase I as part of the 45S precursor that also contains 18S and 28S rRNA. Lineage: Eukaryota; Fungi; Mucoromycota; Mucoromycetes; Mucorales; Mucoraceae. The record is from RNAcentral.
GGUUCUCGCAUCGAUGAAGAACGUAGCAAAGUGCGAUAACUAGUGUGAAUUGCAUAUUCAGUGAAUCAUCGAGUCUUUGAACGCAACUUGCGCUCAUUGGUAUUCCAAUGAGCACGCCUGUUUCAGUAUCAAAACAAACCCUCUAUUCAAUAUUUUUGUU